This 700-nucleotide ribosomal RNA is filed under the name uncultured Ralstonia sp. RNAcentral's name for it is "bacterial SSU rRNA". It matches the Rfam family "Bacterial small subunit ribosomal RNA", at positions 63 to 758 of the family's 1533-position model. Lineage: Bacteria; Pseudomonadati; Pseudomonadota; Betaproteobacteria; Burkholderiales; Burkholderiaceae. The record is from RNAcentral.
CGAACGGCGGCACGGGAGCAAUCCUGGUGGCGAGUGGCGAACGGGUGAGUAAUACAUCGGAACGUGCCCUGUAGUGGGGGAUAACUAGUCGAAAGACUAGCUAAUACCGCAUACGACCUGAGGGUGAAAGUGGGGGACCGCAAGGCCUCAUGCUAUAGGAGCGGCCGAUGUCUGAUUAGCUAGUUGGUGGGGUAAAGGCCUACCAAGGCGACGAUCAGUAGCUGGUCUGAGAGGACGAUCAGCCACACUGGGACUGAGACACGGCCCAGACUCCUACGGGAGGCAGCAGUGGGGAAUUUUGGACAAUGGGGGCAACCCUGAUCCAGCAAUGCCGCGUGUGUGAAGAAGGCCUUCGGGUUGUAAAGCACUUUUGUCCGGGAAGAAAUCGCACCUGAUAAUACCGGGUGUGGAUGACGGUACCGGAAGAAUAAGGACCGGCUAACUACGUGCCAGCAGCCGCGGUAAUACGUAGGGUCCAAGCGUUAAUCGGAAUUACUGGGCGUAAAGCGUGCGCAGGCGGUUGUGCAAGACCGAUGUGAAAUCCCCGGGCUUAACCUGGGAAUUGCAUUGGUGACUGCACGGCUAGAGUGUGUCAGAGGGGGGUAGAAUUCCACGUGUAGCAGUGAAAUGCGUAGAGAUGUGGAGGAAUACCGAUGGCGAAGGCAGCCCCCUGGGAUAACACUGACGCUCAUGCACGAAA